This 228-nucleotide ribosomal RNA is filed under the name uncultured bacterium. RNAcentral's name for it is "partial 16S ribosomal RNA". It matches the Rfam family "Bacterial small subunit ribosomal RNA", at positions 118 to 346 of the family's 1533-position model. The record is from RNAcentral.
UGAGCAAUCUGCCCUUCACUUUCGGAUAACUACCGGAAACGGUGGCUAAUACCGGAUAUGACUACUCCCUGCAUGGGGUGGUAGUGGAAAGUUUUGGCGGUGGAGGAUGAGCUCGCGGCCUAUCAGCUUGUUGGUGAGGUAAUGGCUCACCAAGGCUUCGACGGGUAGCCGGCCUGAGAGGGUGACCGGCCACACUGGGACUGAGACACGGCCCAGACUCCUACGGGA